Molecule: ribosomal RNA, 450 nt
Filed under: uncultured bacterium
Lineage: Bacteria
Description: partial 16S ribosomal RNA
Rfam family: Bacterial small subunit ribosomal RNA
Source: RNAcentral
GUGGGGAAUCUUCCGCAAUGGACGAAAGUCUGACGGAGCAACGCCGCGUGAGUGAUGAAGGCCUUCGGGUUGUAAAGCUCUGUUAAUCGGGACGAAAGAGCGCUGUGCGAAUAGUGUAGCGAAGUGACGGUACCGGAAUAGAAAGCCACGGCUAACUACGUGCCAGCAGCCGCGGUAAUACGUAGGUGGCAAGCGUUGUCCGGAAUUAUUGGGCGUAAAGCGCGCGCAGGCGGAUCUGUAAGUCUGUCUUAAAAGUUCGGGGCUCAACCCCGUGAGGGGAUAGAAACUGCAGAUCUUGAGUAUCGGAGAGGAAAGUGGAAUUCCUAGUGUAGCGGUGAAAUGCGUAGAGAUUAGGAAGAACACCAGUGGCGAAGGCGACUUUCUGGACGAACACUGACGCUGAGGCGCGAAAGCCAGGGGAGCGAACGGGAUUAGAUACCCCAGUAGUCC